AGAGACCCUUAACGGGUCCGACCUAACGGGUCGGAUCCGAGUUUGGGUCCGAACCUGUUAGGCCCAAAUAAAAGAAAAGAAAAAUGAGUUUAGCCAAAUUUGACUAAAACCGAGCCCAGUCUGAUUGGGCUAAGUCCGGACGAACCCAAACUAUAAAUUGGGUUAAAUCCGAACCAAAUUAAGCCCAAUUGAGUUGGGUCUGAACCUAAUUAAGCUGAGUUAGUCUCAGCAAACCCAAAUUGAAUAUGAAUCAAGCCCAAAUCAAAACCAGUUUAACUAAAUUGAGACCGAAUUGACUUUGGGCUGACCCUGACUCAAGCCUAGAUGAGCCACAUUGACCCUGGACCAAAAUUAAACCUAAUUGGACUUGAAAUUGAGCCCAAUAA
RNAcentral lists this long non-coding RNA (386 nucleotides) under Phoenix dactylifera (date palm). Its description in RNAcentral is "long non-coding RNA (PDAC_LNC019347)". Lineage: Eukaryota; Viridiplantae; Streptophyta; Magnoliopsida; Arecales; Arecaceae. The record is from RNAcentral.